AGGGCUAGGAUUUGGAGGAUGUGUAGGCAAACGGAAGGAGAGCCGGGGGAAGAAAAACCGAAAUGGAUUCAUUCUCUGUCCUNCCGGGGGAAGAAAAACCGAAAUGGAUUCAGUCUCUGUCCUGGAUGGAGGAGGAGAAGGGAAGAGAAGAGGACGUGAAAGCUUCCUUCAACUGCCUCUGUCCGGUGAAAAGUGAUCAACCCCCCGGGACUGAAUAGAACUCAAGAGUCCACGCGGACUUUCGCUUUAUCCUGCCAAUCAAACUGCUUACUAGACAACACCCUGAUCUGGCAUGGACAU
This 300-nucleotide long non-coding RNA is filed under the name Gopherus agassizii (Agassiz's desert tortoise). Its description in RNAcentral is "SOX2 overlapping transcript exon 3 (ENSGAGG00000025287.1)". It matches the Rfam family "SOX2 overlapping transcript exon 3". From Rfam's summary of the family: SOX2 overlapping transcript (SOX2OT) is a long non-coding RNA, containing at least 5 exons. The SOX2 gene, an important regulator of neurogenesis, lies within one of the introns of SOX2OT. SOX2OT and SOX2DOT (an isoform of SOXOT transcribed from a distal highly conserved element) are expressed in zones of neurogenesis within the brain. Lineage: Eukaryota; Metazoa; Chordata; Testudines; Testudinidae. The record is from RNAcentral.